UGCUUACCAGUGAUGUUGAAAAAUAAAUGUCUGAACAUAUGAAUUCAAUAUGAUAUCAGUUUAUUCUCUGAGGUAAGCA
Molecule: small nucleolar RNA, 79 nt
Organism: Labrus bergylta (ballan wrasse)
Lineage: Eukaryota; Metazoa; Chordata; Actinopteri; Labriformes; Labridae
Product: small nucleolar RNA SNORD72
Source: Ensembl